CCUACGGGGGGCAGCAGUGAGGAAUAUUGGUCAAUGGGCGGAAGCCUGAAGCAGCAACGCCGCGUGGAGGAUGAAGGUUUUCGGAUUGUAAACUCCUUUUGUUAGAGAAGAGAAUGACGGUAUCUAACGAAUAAGCACCGGCUAACUCCGUGCCAGCAGCCGCGGUAACACGGAGGGUGCAAGCGUUACUCGGAAUCACUGGGCGUAAAGAGCGCGUAGGCGGGAUAGCAAGUCAGAUGUGAAAUCCUAUGGCUUAACCAUAGAACUGCAUUUGAAACUGUUAUUCUAGAGUAUGGGAGAGGUAGGUGGAAUUCUUGGUGUAGGGGUGAAAUCCGUAGAGAUCAAGAGGAAUACUCAUUGCGAAGGCGACCUGCUAGAACAUAACUGACGCUGAUGCGCGAAAGCGUGGGGAGCAAACAGGAUUAGAUACCCUAGUAGUC
This 440-nucleotide ribosomal RNA is filed under the name uncultured bacterium. Its description in RNAcentral is "partial 16S ribosomal RNA". It matches the Rfam family "Bacterial small subunit ribosomal RNA", at positions 338 to 795 of the family's 1533-position model. The record is from RNAcentral.